RNAcentral lists this ribosomal RNA (502 nucleotides) under uncultured bacterium. Its description in RNAcentral is "partial 16S ribosomal RNA". It matches the Rfam family "Bacterial small subunit ribosomal RNA", at positions 899 to 1397 of the family's 1533-position model. The record is from RNAcentral.
ACUCAAAUGAAUUGACGGGGACCCGCACAAGCGGUGGAACAUGUGGUUUAAUUCGAGGCAACGCGAAGAACCUUACCAGGAUUCGACAUGUCCUCUAUGGGCUCUUGAAAGAGAGUCCUUCACUUCGGGUGGGAGGAACACAGGUGCUGCAUGGCUGUCGUCAGCUCGUGUCGUGAGAUGUUGGGUUAAGUCCCGCAACGAGCGCAACCCUCGUCUCCUGUUGCCAUCAGGUCAAGCUGGGCACUCUGGAGAAACUGCCGGUGAUAAGCCGGAGGAAGGUGGGGAUGACGUCAAGUCCUCAUGGCCCUUACAUCCUGGGCUACACACGUGUUACAAUGGCGGUGACAAUGAGCAGCGAUCUCGCAAGAGCUAGCUAAUCUCAAAAAACCGCCUCAGUUUGGAUUGUACUCUGCAACUCGAGUACAUGAAAUUGGAAUCGCUAGUAAUCGCAGAUCAGCACGCUGCGGUGAAUACGUUCCCGGGUCUUGUACACACCGCCCGU